RNAcentral lists this ribosomal RNA (560 nucleotides) under uncultured bacterium. RNAcentral describes it as "bacterial SSU rRNA". It matches the Rfam family "Bacterial small subunit ribosomal RNA", at positions 338 to 916 of the family's 1533-position model. The record is from RNAcentral.
CCUACGGGAGGCAGCAGUGUGGAAUAUUGGACAAUGGGCGAAAGCCUGAUCCAGCAAUGCCGCGUGAGUGAUGAAGGCCUUAGGGUUGUAAAGCUCUUUUACCCGGGAUGAUAAUGACAGUACCGGGAGAAUAAGCUCCGGCUAACUCCGUGCCAGCAGCCGCGGUAAUACGGAGGGAGCUAGCGUUAUUCGGAAUUACUGGGCGUAAAGCGCACGUAGGCGGCUUUGUAAGUAAGAGGUGAAAGCCUGGUGCUCAACACCAGAACUGCCUUUUAGACUGCAUCGCUUGAAUCCAGGAGAGGUGAGUGGAAUUCCGAGUGUAGAGGUGAAAUUCGUAGAUAUUCGGAAGAACACCAGUGGCGAAGGCGGCUCACUGGACUGGUAUUGACGCUGAGGUGCGAAAGCGUGGGGAGCAAACAGGAUUAGAUACCCCGGUAGUCCACGCCGUAAACGAUGAUAACUAGCUGUCGGGGCUCUUAGAGCUUCGGUGGCGCAGCUAACGCAUUAAGUUAUCCGCCUGGGGAGUACGGCCGCAAGGUUAAACUUAAAUGAAUUGACGG